CCUACGGGUGGCAGCAGUAGGGAAUUUUCGGCAAUGGGCGAAAGCCUGACCGAGCAACGCCGCGUGAAGGAAGAAGUCAUUCGUGAUGUAAACUUCUGUUAUAAAGGAAGAACGGCGCCUGUAGGGAAUGACAGGCGAGUGACGGUACUUUAUGAGGAAGCCACGGCUAACUACGUGCCAGCAGCCGCGGUAAUACGUAGGUGGCGAGCGUUAUCCGGAAUCAUUGGGCGUAAAGAGGGAGCAGGCGGCAGUGCAGGUCUGCGGUGAAAGCCCGAAGCUAAACUUCGGUAAGCCGUGGAAACCGCACAGCUAGAGAGCAUCAGAGGAUCGCGGAAUUCCAUGUGUAGCGGUGAAAUGCGUAGAUAUAUGGAGCAACACCAGUGGCGAAGGCGGCGGUCUGGGGUGCAGCUGACGCUCAGUCCCGAAAGCGUGGGGAGCAAAUAGGAUUAGAUACCCCGGUAGUC
Molecule: ribosomal RNA, 464 nt
Filed under: uncultured bacterium
Lineage: Bacteria
Description: bacterial SSU rRNA
Rfam family: Bacterial small subunit ribosomal RNA
Source: RNAcentral